GGCAUUUCUAAGCCUUUGCUAUUGUAAACAUUUAUACUGCGUGUGGCAUUCUUUUCCAUAUGCAGCCAUGUGUCACUUAAUGAUGGGAAUAUGUUCUGAGACAUAUGCUAUCAGGUGAUUUCACUGUGUGAACAUCCUGGGGUGUACUUAUACAAACGUAGAGAGCAUGGAUCAGUGUGUUAGUCAGCUUUUCAAUGCUGUGAUAAAAUGCCUGAGAACAACAACUUAAAGGAGGAAGGAUCUAUUUUGGCUCACGGUUUGGGAGGUCUCAGUUUCAUUGUUCCUGGGCCUGGGGUGAGGCAGAGCAUUUUGAUGGAAAGUGGAGAAAGCAAAGCCACUCACCUUAUGGUGGCUGGGAAGCAGAGAGGGAGAAAGGGGCCAGGGACAAGAAAUAUCCAUUUAGGGAACAUCACCAGUGACCCACUUCCUCCAAUUUCCAUCACCUUCCCAAAUGCCCUCAACUGCGAACUGAUCAAUGGAUCUAUCCAUUAAUGAGGUUGAAGCCCCUACAAUCCAGUCACCCCCCUAGAGUGCCACCUCUGAAUACUACUGCAUCAGGGACCAAGUCUUCAACAUGGGAGCCUUUAGGAGACAUUCCAGGCCCAAACCAUGACACGGAACCUGGCCUGUAUAUGUGUGUGGCAUGUGUACACAUGCACAUGUGCACAUGCACGUGCACUAGGAACCAAACCCAGAGCCUUGUGCAUGCUAGGCAAGACUCUGCCCUGGAGCUAUUCCCAACCUGCUUCUUUUUUUUGGGGGGGGGCGGUGGAGCAGUUCCAGUGAUUGAACUUAGGGGCACUCAAACAUUGAGCCACAUCCCCAGCCCUAUUUUUUGUGUUUUAUUUAGAGACAGGGUCUCACUGAGUUGCUUAGUGCCUCAUUUUUGCUGAGGCUGGCUUUGACCUCAAGAUCUCCUGCCUCAGCCUCCUGAGUCAUUGGGAUUACACAGUGCCCAGCAGCAUAUGGUCUUAAAGUGAACUUAUUUUUUUUAAUAAUUGGAGUACACUCUAAAAUGAUGAUGAAAAGGUAUAGUAGAAUAUAA
Molecule: long non-coding RNA, 1045 nt
Filed under: Marmota monax (woodchuck)
Lineage: Eukaryota; Metazoa; Chordata; Mammalia; Rodentia; Sciuridae
Source: RNAcentral